UACGAGGGGGCUAGCGUUGCUCGGAAUCACUGGGCGUAAAGGGUGCGUAGGCGGGUCUUUAAGUCAGAGGUGAAAUCCUGGAGCUCAACUCCAGAACUGCCUUUGAUACUGAGGAUCUUGAGUUCGGGAGAGGUGAGUGGAACUGCGAGUGUAGAGGUGAAAUUCGUAGAUAUUCGCAAGAACACCAGUGGCGAAGGCGGCUCACUGGCCCGAUACUGACGCUGAGGCACGAAAGCGUGGGGAGCAAACAGG
This 252-nucleotide ribosomal RNA is filed under the name uncultured bacterium. Its description in RNAcentral is "partial 16S ribosomal RNA". It matches the Rfam family "Bacterial small subunit ribosomal RNA", at positions 524 to 776 of the family's 1533-position model. The record is from RNAcentral.